Molecule: transfer RNA, 74 nt
Filed under: Bacillota bacterium
Lineage: Bacteria; Bacillati; Bacillota
Description: Firmicutes bacterium (anaerobic digester metagenome) tRNA-Gln
Rfam family: tRNA
About the family: Transfer RNA (tRNA) molecules are approximately 80 nucleotides in length.
Source: RNAcentral
UGGGGAUUGGUCUAAUGGCAGGACGACUGACUCUGGAUCAGUUAGUGGUGGUUCGAAUCCACCAUCCCCAGCCA